RNAcentral lists this ribosomal RNA (1371 nucleotides) under uncultured bacterium. RNAcentral's name for it is "bacterial SSU rRNA". It matches the Rfam family "Bacterial small subunit ribosomal RNA", at positions 28 to 1381 of the family's 1533-position model. The record is from RNAcentral.
GAUGAACGCUGGCGGCGUGCCUAAUACAUGCAAGUCGAGCGAACGGACGAGAAGCUUGCUUCUCUGAUGUUAGCGGCGGACGGGUGAGUAACACGUGGAUAACCUACCUAUAAGACUGGGAUAACUUCGGGAAACCGGAGCUAAUACCGGAUAAUAUUUUGAACCGCAUGGUUCAAAAGUGAAAGACGGUCUUGCUGUCACUUAUAGAUGGAUCCGCGCUGCAUUAGCUAGUUGGUAAGGUAACGGCUUACCAAGGCAACGAUGCAUAGCCGACCUGAGAGGGUGAUCGGCCACACUGGAACUGAGACACGGUCCAGACUCCUACGGGAGGCAGCAGUAGGGAAUCUUCCGCAAUGGGCGAAAGCCUGACGGAGCAACGCCGCGUGAGUGAUGAAGGUCUUCGGAUCGUAAAACUCUGUUAUUAGGGAAGAACAUAUGUGUAAGUAACUGUGCACAUCUUGACGGUACCUAAUCAGAAAGCCACGGCUAACUACGUGCCAGCAGCCGCGGUAAUACGUAGGUGGCAAGCGUUAUCCGGAAUUAUUGGGCGUAAAGCGCGCGUAGGCGGUUUUUUAGUCUGAUGUGAAAGCCCACGGCUCAACCGUGGAGGGUCAUUGGAAACUGGAAAACUUGAGUGCAGAAGAGGAAAGUGGAAUUCCAUGUGUAGCGGUGAAAUGCGCAGAGAUAUGGAGGAACACCAGUGGCGAAGGCGACUUUCUGGUCUGUAACUGACGCUGAUGUGCGAAAGCGUGGGGAUCAAACAGGAUUAGAUACCCUGGUAGUCCACGCCGUAAACGAUGAGUGCUAAGUGUUAGGGGGUUUCCGCCCCUUAGUGCUGCAGCUAACGCACUAAGCACUCCGCCUGGGGAGUACGACCGCAAGGUUGAAACUCAAAGGAAUUGACGGGGACCCGCACAAGCGGUGGAGCAUGUGGUUUAAUUCGAAGCAACGCGAAGAACCUUACCAAAUCUUGACAUCCUUUGACAACUCUAGAGAUAGAGCUUUCCCCUUCGGGGGACAAAGUGACAGGUGGUGCAUGGUUGUCGUCAGCUCGUGUCGUGAGAUGUUGGGUUAAGUCCCGCAACGAGCGCAACCCUUAAGCUUAGUUGCCAUCAUUAAGUUGGGCACUCUAAGUUGACUGCCGGUGACAAACCGGAGGAAGGUGGGGAUGACGUCAAAUCAUCAUGCCCCUUAUGAUUUGGGCUACACACGUGCUACNAUGGACAAUACAAAGGGCAGCGAAACCGUGAGGUCAAGCAAAUCCCCAUAAGUUGUUCUCAGUUCGGAUUGUAGUCUCCAACUCGACUACAUGAAGCUGGAAUCGCUAGUAAUCGUAGAUCAGCAUGCUACGGUGAAUAGGUUCCGGGCUCU